RNAcentral lists this ribosomal RNA (945 nucleotides) under uncultured beta proteobacterium. Its description in RNAcentral is "bacterial SSU rRNA". It matches the Rfam family "Bacterial small subunit ribosomal RNA", at positions 57 to 992 of the family's 1533-position model. The record is from RNAcentral. Lineage: Bacteria; Pseudomonadati; Pseudomonadota; Betaproteobacteria.
GCAAGUCGAACGGCAGCACGGAGAGCUUGCUCUCUGGUGGCGAGUGGCGAACGGUUGAGUAAUAUAUCGGAACGUGUCCAAUAAUGGGGGAUAACGAGUCGAAAGAUUCGCUAAUACCGCAUACGCCCUACGGGGGAAAGCAGGGGAUCGUAAGACCUUGCGUUAAUGGAGCGGCCGAUAUCUGAUUAGCUUGUUGGUGAGGUAAAGGCUCACCAAGGCGACGAUCAGUAGCUGGUUUGAGAGAACGACCAGCCACACUGGAACUGAGACACGGUCCAGACUCCUACGGGAGGCAGCAGUGGGGAAUUUUGGACAAUGGGGGCAACCCUGAUCCAGCCAUUCCGCGUGAGUGAAGAAGGCCUUCGGGUUGUAAAGCUCUUUCGCAAGGGAAGAAGACUUAUGAUCGAAUAAAUCAUGAGGUUGACGGUACCUUGAUAAGAAGCACCGGCUAACUACGUGCCAGCAGCCGCGGUAAUACGUAGGGUGCGAGCGUUAAUCGGAAUUACUGGGCGUAAAGCGUGCGCAGGCGGUUUUGUAAGUCGGAUGUGAAAUCCCCGGGCUCAACCUGGGAACUGCGUUCGAAACUGCAAGGCUAGAGUGUGUCAGAGGGGGGUAGAAUUCCACGUGUAGCAGUGAAAUGCGUAGAGAUGUGGAGGAAUACCAAUGGCGAAGGCAGCCCCCUGGGAUAACACUGACGCUCAUGCACGAAAGCGUGGGGAGCAAACAGGAUUAGAUACCCUGGUAGUCCACGCCCUAAACGAUGUCAACUAGUUGUUGGUAGAGUAAAAUCUAUGAGUAACGUAGCUAACGCGUGAAGUUGACCGCCUGGGGAGUACGGUCGCAAGAUUAAAACUCAAAGGAAUUGACGGGGGCCUGCACAGGCGGUGGAUUAUGUGGAUUAAUUCGAUGCAACGCGAAAAACCUUACCUGGCCUUGACAUGUACC